UACGUAUGGGGCAAGCGUUAUCCGGAUUUACUGGGUGUAAAGGGAGCGUAGACGGUAAUACAAGUCUGGAGUGAAAGGCAUGGGCUCAGCCUGUGGACUGCUCUGGAAACUGUAUAACUAGAGUGCAGGAGAGGAGAAUGGAAUUCCUAGUGUAGCGGUGAAAUGCGUAGAGAUUAGGAAGAACACCAGUGGCGAAGGCGAUUCUCUGGACUGUAACUGACGCUGAGGCUCGAAAGCGUGGGGAGCAAACAGGAUUA
RNAcentral lists this ribosomal RNA (257 nucleotides) under uncultured prokaryote. RNAcentral's name for it is "partial 16S ribosomal RNA". It matches the Rfam family "Bacterial small subunit ribosomal RNA", at positions 524 to 780 of the family's 1533-position model. The record is from RNAcentral.